Molecule: long non-coding RNA, 495 nt
Organism: Anastrepha obliqua
Lineage: Eukaryota; Metazoa; Arthropoda; Insecta; Diptera; Tephritidae
Exons: 3
Source: RefSeq, a predicted model, not a curated record
AAAAAAUACACAGAUUGUCGUGUGAAGAAAAACAAUUCUCGCUUCAGAGCUUCCCAGCCUUUGUUGCACCUUCAUACGCGUAUGUACGCGCUGACAAGCAAAUAAAUACUUGGUGCAAUGCGAGUAGUGCCACACCUAAAAUUUGCGCUGGUUGCCGUACACAACCUUGUCACAGAAUGUUAAGGGUAUAAUCAAAUAAAUGUAUGCGGGUACUACAUACAUAUUUUUUUCAGAUGGCAAAUAAAAUGAGGAGCGUAACCGAUUUUGUAUUUAGCCAACUUAGAGCUGUCAGUGGCGGCCUGCGCAAAGUUCAUGGCUGAUAUCACAAAAUUUUACGCAUGAAAAGAUUGUAAAGCUGCAAUGACUGUCUUAUAGCUAAUCUAGGUACGGCUUUCCCACUACUUGACUUCACCCAAAUCGUGAUUCAAUGAGUAAGCGCACGAUUUACAGUGGCGGGCAUUAGUUUGCGCACAAGAAGAUUUUAGUUUUGAAUAA